CUUCCUGUUGCUCAGGGUGAAGAGUCUUUGCAGGUUGGUGGUCAACAGGGUCAGAGAUGCCACAGGUCUGGCCAGUGUCCAGAGAAGCCACAUCUCACAUUCAUUCUUCUGCCAGGUUGCAGAGGCAGUGUUAACAUCCCAACUGAAAGCACAUCAAGAGAAACCAAAUUUUAUUAUCAAGACCCCAAAGGGUACCAGGGAUCUUAGUCCUCAGCAUAUGGUUGUGAGGGAGAAAAUUCUUGAUUUGGUUAUCAGCUGCUUUAAACGUCAUGGAGCAAAGGGGAUGGACACCCCAGCAUUUGAGCUGAAGGAAACCCUGACUGAGAAGUAUGGAGAGGACUCUGGGCUCAUGUAUGAUCUGAAGGAUCAAGGUGGAGAGCUGUUGUCCCUCCGCUAUGACCUUACUGUUCCCUUUGCUCGUUAUCUGGCCAUGAAUAAGGUGAAGAAGAUGAAACGUUAUCAUGUUGGAAAGGUGUGGCGGCGAGAGAGCCCAACCAUAGUCCAAGGCCGUUAUAGGGAGUUCUGCCAGUGUGAUUUUGACAUUGCUGGUCAGUUUGACCCUAUGAUCCCCGAUGCAGAGUGUUUGAAGAUCAUGUGUGAAAUCCUAAGUGGAUUGCAGUUGGGAGACUUUCUCAUUAAGGUAAAUGACCGGCGGAUUGUGGAUGGGAUGUUUGCUGUCUGUGGUGUUCCUGAA
RNAcentral lists this small RNA (694 nucleotides) under Pan troglodytes (chimpanzee). Its description in RNAcentral is "retained intron". The record is from RNAcentral. Lineage: Eukaryota; Metazoa; Chordata; Mammalia; Primates; Hominidae.